Molecule: non-coding RNA, 1810 nt
Organism: Physcomitrium patens
Lineage: Eukaryota; Viridiplantae; Streptophyta; Bryopsida; Funariales; Funariaceae
Source: RefSeq, a predicted model, not a curated record
ACAGCAGGAGCGAGGGGGAAACUCAUUUGACAGGAGGUAUGUUUUCGGGAGAAGGCGGAGAUGCUGGGGUGUCGACAUCCACAGCAGGAGCGAGGGGGAACUCAUUUGACAGGAGGUAUGUUUUCGGGAGAAGGCGGAGAUGCUGGGGUGUCGACAUCCACAGCAGGAGCGAGGGGGAACUCAUUUGACAGGAGGUAUGUUUUCGGGAGAAGGCGGAGAUGCUGGGGUGUCGACAUCCACAGCAGGAGCGAGGGGGAACUCAUUUGACAGGAGGUAUGUUUUCGGGAGAAGGCGGAGAUGCUGGGGUGUCGACAUCCACAGCAGGAGCGAGGGGGAACUCAUUUGACAGGAGGUAUGUUUUCGGGAGAAGGCGGAGAUGCUGGGGUGUCGACAUCCACAGCAGGAGCGAGGGGGAACUCAUUUGACAGGAGGUAUGUUUUCGGGAGAAGGCGGAGAUGCUGGGGUGUCGACAUCCACAGCAGGAGCGAGGGGGAACUCAUUUGACAGGAGGUAUGUUUUCGGGAGAAGGCGGAGAUGCUGGGGUGUCGACAUCCACAGCAGGAGCGAGGGGGAACUCAUUUGACAGGAGGUAUGUUUUCGGGAGAAGGCGGAGAUGCUGGGGUGUCGACAUCCACAGCAGGAGCGAGGGGGAACUCAUUUGACAGGAGGUAUGUUUUCGGGAGAAGGCGGAGAUGCUGGGGUGUCGACAUCCACAGCAGGAGCGAGGGGGAACUCAUUUGACAGGAGGUAUGUUUUCGGGAGAAGGCGGAGAUGCUGGGGUGUCGACAUCCACAGCAGGAGCGAGGGGGAACUCAUUUGACAGGAGGUAUGUUUUCGGGAGAAGGCGGAGAUGCUGGGGUGUCGACAUCCACAGCAGGAGCGAGGGGGAACUCAUUUGACAGGAGGUAUGUUUUCGGGAGAAGGCGUAGAUGCUGGGGUGUCGACAUCCACAGCAGGAGCGAGGGGGAACUCAUUUGACAGGAGGUAUGUUUUCGGGAGAAGGCGGAGAUGCUGGGGUGUCGACAUCCACAGCAGGAGCGAGGGGGAACUCAUUUGACAGGAGGUAUGUUUUCGGGAGAAGGCGGAGAUGCUGGGGUGUCGACAUCCACAGCAGGAGCGAGGGGGAACUCAUUUGACAGGAGGUAUGUUUUCGGGAGAAGGCGGAGAUGCUGGGGUGUCGACAUCCACAGCAGGAGCGAGGGGGAACUCAUUUGACAGGAGGUAUGUUUUCGGGAGAAGGCGUAGAGGCAGCAGAUUUCGCAGGAUGAGGAGAGCGGAGGGCGUCCUUUAGAAUUAGUUUUGGGCUUUCUUGUUGGUGCAAGAUUAGAACAGACAAGUCAAUCACAAGGUUGAGCAGGUGGGUAGGCGAGGACUGAGCAGUGGCGACGGAAUCUUCUGAGAUCUGAUUUGGAGCAGCAGCAGCGGUUCUUGUGUUGUUCGGAAGCCCCGACACUCAUGAUUCUAGUUGUACUACGGAUGCACUUGUUAGAUCAGCAUUGAAUAUAUACUAUACUACGCACAAGUUGAAUAUUGUGAUUUGAAUAACUUGAAAUGCCAUGUGAGCUUAUUACCUUCUGAGUCCUCGAUGUGAACGCCGCUAGUUGUUCUUCAGAAACUCGAUAGGAUUCUGUGCGCUUGCCCAUACGAUUAUAUUACAUCAUUGGUUGUGGGUUAGCUCAUGGUUGGAGGCCUUGGAUUGGCUUGGAUUAACGAAUUUUGGGCUAGAAUCCUCAAAUAGAAGCCGCUUAAUGGUAGCUCCCUGACAAAGCUUUGGUACAUCAAAAUUGGAACAAAGAUAAAAUCUUGGUAA